This is a long non-coding RNA of Oncorhynchus keta (chum salmon), 353 nucleotides long. RefSeq lists it as uncharacterized. NCBI's taxonomy places the organism in Eukaryota, Metazoa, Chordata, Actinopteri, Salmoniformes, Salmonidae. The transcript has 3 exons. The record is from RefSeq and is a predicted model, not a curated record.
CAAAGUAGCCGAAGUUUGCCUUGAUGACAGCUUUGCACGCUCUUGGCAUUCUCUCAACCAGCUAGUCACAUAGACAGUGUGAGGGCAGACUAAUAGUUACUAGAGGUUAGUCAGUGUAUUUAUUAUAGACAGACUAAGAGUUACUAGAGGUUAGUCAGUGUAUUUAUUAUAGACAGUGUGAGGGCAGACUAAGAGUUACUAGAGGUUAGUCAGUGUAUUUAUUAUAGACAGUGUGAGGGCAGACUAAGAGUUACUAGAGGUUAGUCAGUGUAUUUAUUAUAGACAGUGUGAGGACAGACUAAGAGUUACUAGAGGUUAGUCAGUGUAUUUAUUAUAGACAGUGUGAGGGCAGA